UAAACGACUCUCGGCAACGGAUAUCUCGGCUCUCGCAUCGAUGAAGAACGUAGCGAAAUGCGAUACUUGGUGUGAAUUGCAGAAUCCCGUGAACCAUCGAGUCUUUGAACGCAAGUUGCGCCCGAAGCCUUUUGGUUGAGGGCACGUCUGCCUGGGCGUCACGC
This 164-nucleotide ribosomal RNA is filed under the name Minuartia anatolica var. anatolica. Its description in RNAcentral is "5.8S ribosomal RNA". It matches the Rfam family "5.8S ribosomal RNA". Rfam says of the family: 5.8S ribosomal RNA (5.8S rRNA) is a component of the large subunit of the eukaryotic ribosome. It is transcribed by RNA polymerase I as part of the 45S precursor that also contains 18S and 28S rRNA. The record is from RNAcentral. Lineage: Eukaryota; Viridiplantae; Streptophyta; Magnoliopsida; Caryophyllales; Caryophyllaceae.